AGGGCGUACGGCGAAUGCCUGGCCACUCGAAACUGAAGAAGGACGCGCCAAACUGCGAAAAGCUCCGUGAAGCUGUAAGGAAGCGAAGAAGCGGAGGUGUCCGAAUGGGGGAACCCGGCAGCAGACAUGAGCUGUCAUCUGCAGGUGAAUACAUGGCCUGCAAGAGAGGUACCCGGCGAACUGAAACAUCUAAGUAGCCGGAGGAAAAGAAAACAACAGUGAUUCCCUGAGUAGCGGCGAGCGAAAGGGGAGAAGCCCAAACCGGUCCAAGGACCGGGGUUGAAGGACCAUGAUAUGGCAAGAGAGAGGAUAGAAGAACGGGAUCGAAAGCCCGGCCGAAGAAGGUGCAAGCCCUGUAAUUGAAAUCCGAUUGAAGCCUAAUGGGAUCCUGAGUACGGCGAGACACGAGGAAUCUUGUCGGAAGCAGGCGGGACCAUCCGCCAAGGCUAAAUAUAAACGAGUGAGCGAUAGUGAACCAGUACCGUGAGGGAAAGGUGAAAAGAACCGCGGGAGCGGAGUGAAAGAGAACCUGAAACCGUAUGCCUACAAGAAGUCAGAGCCCGUUAAGGGGUGAUGGCGUGCCUUUUGUAGAAUGAACCGGCGAGUUGCGACAGACUGCGAGGUUAAGGAGGAAAGACCGGAGCCGAAGCGAAAGCGAGUCUUAACAGGGCGAAAGUAGGAUGUUGCAGACCCGAAACCGGGUGAUCUAGCCAUGAGCAGGUUGAAGUUGAGGUGAAACUCAAUGGAGGACCGAACCGACUACCGUUGAAAAGUUAGCGGAUGACUUGUGGCUAGGGGAGAAAUUCCAAUCGAACCCGGAGAUAGCUGGUUCUCCCCGAAAUAGCUUUAGGGCUAGCGUCGGAAAGAACCUUAGUGAAGGUAGAGCACUGAAUGUGUGAUGGCCCCAUCCCGGGGUACUGAAUACAAUCAAACUGCGAAUGUCAUUAAGGAUGUCCGGCAGUCAGACUGUGAGUGAUAAGGUCCAUGGUCAAGAGGGAAACAGCCCAGACCGCCAGUUAAGGUCCCAAAAUACAGGCUAAGUGGAAAAGGAUGUGGGGAUGCCCAGACAACUAGGAGGUUGGCUCAGAAGCAGCCAUCCUUUAAAGAGUGCGUAACAGCUCACUAGUCGAGUGACCCUGCGCCGAAAAUGUACCGGGGCUAAGCCUGAUACCGAAACUGCGGAUUGUAGGAAACUAUAGUGGUAGGGGAGCGUUGUAUACGAGUGGAAGCCGUACCGUGAGGAGCGGUGGAUUGUAUAGAAGUGAGAAUGCCGGUGUGAGUAGCGAGAUGUAGGUGAGAAUCCUACACACCGAAAGCCCAAGGAUUCCAGGGGAAGGUUCGUCCGCCCUGGGUAAGUCGGGACCUAACGCGAGGCCGAAAGGCGUAGUGGAUGGAAAGCAGGCGAAAGAUUCCUGCACCCGUAUAUGGAGCGAAGGAGUGACGGAGACGGAUAGUGUGACCCUCUUAAUGGAUUGAGGGCGAAGCGAAGCGGCUGGUUACCAGGCAAAUCCGGUAACCAUAAGGCUAGAGCGUGAUAGGUAAGCGAAAUCUUCGGAAAGUAGCGAAGCACAUGAUGACGGCUUCCAGGAAAAGCUUCUGGCAAUGCAUAUGCGGCCCGUACCAAAACCGACACAGGUGGGCAGGGAGAGAAUCCCGAGGUGAGCGAGAGAACUGUUGCCAAGGAACUCGGCAAAAUGACUCCGUAAGUUAGCGAGAAGGAGUGCUUAAGCAAUUAAGCCGCAGUGAAGAGGCCCAAGCGACUGUUUAACUAAAACACAGCUCUCUGCGAAGUCGCAAGACGAAGUAUAGGGGGUGACACCUGCCCGGUGCUGGAAGGUUAAGAGGAUCUGUUAAGAGCGAUCUGAAGCAGUGAUCCGAAGCCCCAGUGAACGGCGGCCGUAACUAUAACGGUCCUAAGGUAGCGAAAUUCCUUGUCAGGUAAGUUCUGACCCGCACGAAAGGUGUAACGAUUUGGGCGCUGUCUCGGCAGCAGACUCGGUGAAAUCUUAGUACCUGUGAAAAUGCAGGUUACCCGCAACUAGACGGAAAGACCCCAUGGAGCUUUACUGCAGCCUGAUAUUGAAUUCUGGUCAUACAUGUACAGGAUAGGUGGGAGACAAAGAGACGUGCACGCCAGUGUACGAGGAGUCGACGUUGGGAUACCACUCUUGUGUGACCGGGGUUCUAACCUGGUAUCGAGAACAGGUACGG
This 2211-nucleotide ribosomal RNA is filed under the name human gut metagenome. RNAcentral's name for it is "bacterial LSU rRNA". It matches the Rfam family "Bacterial large subunit ribosomal RNA", at positions 14 to 2248 of the family's 2925-position model. The record is from RNAcentral.